CUAGCAGCUGGAGGAUGUAGAGGCUGUAGCUUACCCGGUGCUGAGUUGGAGCUAGCGGUGCUGGCUGGUGUGUGCCGAGGCCAGGCUUUUCACCUCUGGCUAUCACUGUGGGUAGGCCUGUUCCACCUCUGCAAGCCCGAAAUUCUGGCCUUGCUUAAGAAACAUGCUGGAGGACUUUGGAGAGCCAAGAUCACAGAGUAAACACUAAGGGAACUGGCAGAUUCCAGCUCAGAGAUCUACCAUGUGCACCACCUGGCAGGUGUCCUUCUGUAGCCAAACCUCCCUGUGCUUCAGCAUAGCCCUGGUGAAAUGCAGAAAAAUCCCACCUGGCCUCAGCACACAUCAGACACCACCAACAGACACGACCCCAGCUCAGCACCAGAGUAAGUUAAUAUGAAAGACGUGUCGGUGUGCCUACCAUGAACAGUCACUUGGGCUCUUAACUCAAGGAAUGUUUCCUGUAUUUUCCAGGUUCAAGCCAACUACGCACCAUGAUGACUCUACACCUUCUAUUUUUGUUGCUUUUUCUGACAUUCUCCUACCCUGGUAUUAAAUGUUCGCUUGGUUCUUCCAAAGCUACUCCUAAGGAUACAUAUGAUUGCACGAUGAUGGGUGGUUCAUGUGCAGAAGUAUGCAAGUCCUAUUGCUACAUGGUUGGCACCUGUAAAGAUAGGAAAUUGUCAUGCUGUUUAUAUCUUUGAGUACAUAGAUUGUUGACUAAAAAUAGAAGCAGGAAAUCACAGUCUUUCCAGGCUGUGUGGUAAGAAAGGGCCAGAGAACAGAAGAUGAGAGAAAUUGAAAUGAAUGGAAUGAAUGUUACUCUUAUAUUAAUAAAGUAAGCCCCAAUUGUAAAGCAA
Long non-coding RNA from Vombatus ursinus (common wombat), 857 nucleotides. RefSeq lists it as uncharacterized. The record is from RefSeq and is a predicted model, not a curated record. The transcript has 6 exons. NCBI's taxonomy places the organism in Eukaryota, Metazoa, Chordata, Mammalia, Diprotodontia, Vombatidae.